ACGAACGCUGGCGGCAGGCCUAACACAUGCAAGUCGAACGCCGUAGCAAUACGGAGUGGCAGACGGGUGAGUAACACGUGGGAACGUACCCUUCGGUUCGGAAUAAACUCAGGGAAACUUGAGCUAAUACCGGAUACGUCCGAGAGGAGAAAGAUUUAUCGCCGAGGGAUCGGCCCGCGUCUGAUUAGCUUGUUGGUGAGGUAACGGCUCACCAAGGCGACGAUCAGUAGCUGGUCNGA
This 239-nucleotide ribosomal RNA is filed under the name uncultured bacterium. Its description in RNAcentral is "partial 16S ribosomal RNA". It matches the Rfam family "Bacterial small subunit ribosomal RNA", at positions 29 to 295 of the family's 1533-position model. The record is from RNAcentral.